Molecule: long non-coding RNA, 998 nt
Filed under: Ornithorhynchus anatinus (platypus)
Lineage: Eukaryota; Metazoa; Chordata; Mammalia; Monotremata; Ornithorhynchidae
Description: lncRNA (ENSOANG00000045854.1)
Source: RNAcentral
AGGGGCUUUAAAUAGAUUUAUGGGUGAUUAGCCCCAUGAAGAGUAAUUUUAAGGAAGCGAGGGACGCGAGACGUAGCGGCAGAUUGCCUGUGGCCCGUGAUUGUUGAAGGUUGUGGCGGAGACUCGACUGCUGGCAUGAGAGCCAAGGAAGGCGGAUAGUUAUCUGCCCCUUUCUCAGCCCCCACAGCACAUCCACUAGACUGAAAGCUCGCUGUGGACAGGGAACGUGUCUACCAACCUUGUUAUAUUGUACUCUGCCAACCGCUUAGUACAGUGCUCUGCACACAGUAAGCACUCCAUAAAUGCCACUGAUUAUGUACCUAUCCAUAAUGUACCUAUCUUAAUGUCUGCUCCCCUCUCUAAAUCGUAAGAUCAUUGUGGGAAGGAGACGGGUCCACCGACUCUUAUACUGUAGUCUCGCAAGUGCUUAGUUCAGCGCUCUGCACACAGUAAGCGCUCGAUAAAUACAACUGAUUGAUUUAUAUGGCUGCUUCCACCACACCCACUCUCCUGAACCCCAACCUUUGGGCAUAACAACAGGUGAUUGUGCGAGUACAAAACUCCUGAAUGACCGCUUCCAACUGAAUAAUGGUCCAUCCCUGAUCUAAAGCAAUUUCUCUCAUUUUUGUCCAUUUCCUUAUCAACAGAUACUUAGGAAACCAUGACCGAAAAGACAAAUGAUUCCGUUUGCAGCAUGUGGCUAAACACAUCCAUCUCCCUUUAUUUAAACAGUCAGGUGGAGGCUGUGAAGUUCAUCAGUCAAAUUUGUGUCUCUUUCCACGGGUGAUAAAGAUAAAGGCUUUCCCCUAUACAACCUGUUUGGGGCAGAAACGACCUUCAGUGAAGCCACCGAUGACUUUUCCCAUCAAUCCACUCUACUCCAUCCCUCCAAACGGAGCAGUUUCUUCAUUCAGUGUCCCCAAAACAAGGUGAUAAAACACAACCAUCUUUCCUCUUUCACUGAUGUUUAGUCCUGGUGACAAACCUUUUCACUUUCU